Molecule: long non-coding RNA, 239 nt
Organism: Canis lupus familiaris (dog)
Lineage: Eukaryota; Metazoa; Chordata; Mammalia; Carnivora; Canidae
Exons: 3
Source: RefSeq, a predicted model, not a curated record
GUGAUAACAAUACUUCUCUGUGGAACUCAGUGUUCCACAUAGAGUUGAGACAGAUCUCUUGUUUGGAAGGAUCUUCGACAGCCUAGCAUUUUCCAAAGUGUAUUCCAUAGAACAUUAAUCAUAUCCCUCCCGGAUGCUCUGUUGCUGAUAAGAAACAUGCAUCACUCAAGUGAAAAAAAAAAAAAAGAGAGACGGAGAACACAAGCAUGAGCAGGGACAGGGACAACGGGAGAAGCAGC